GUGAGGACCCAAUAGCCAUGGGCCUAGCCUUUGGUUUAGUUAAUUUUUGAGUUAUUUUGAACAGUUUUAGAGGGUCGAUAUAAGGACAACCCCUUCCUUUCCCCCUUUUUUUUUUUUUUUGUGGAACAGCUCUGGUCCAAACCACCUGGUGGAGCUCUGCGGCCUCCAGAAACUCUCCUUGCUCAGAGAGUUCUGUUCAAAGACUGGCGUACAGGUCUGCUGAAUCAGGCCCAUAAGAUGUGAUGAUCUUCACCCUGAGGCGGGUUAUUGCCACAGCUUGCUGGCCAAGGUGGCUUUCCUCCAGGAGAAGACAGCUGAGUGAUAGGUUCCAGGAGAACAAGCAGAAACACCUGGAACCUAAAGGCUGCAGUGGCAAAAGAGCUGGGACUUAAACUUCCUAACGUUGCUUCCGUGACGGUGAAUGAAGGAGGGAAAAGUUCAGCUCAAGAAACCUGUGGGAAGGAACCUGAAGGUGGAGGAAACGAUGAGAUGCAGUCGAGCUCAGGUGAACUAAAUGGAAGGAUGGACAUCACUGCAAGCCCUUCGGCGCUUAGAAGUGAAGUGACGUGGGCAGAUGUUUCAAAGUCAGUUGCAGCCAGCGGAACAGGAGGCAAAGCCACAGCUAUAAAUGGAGUAGGAGAUGGCACCAGUGCCAAUCGAAGAGCUGAAAAAUGAACACAAAGCUAAUGAAGAGUUGUAAUCGAGUUUUCCAAAGUCACUGCUGUAAAAUUAGAACCUCUUCCAGUAUUUCCUGAUGUAAUUUGAUCUAAUGAACAAGGACAGAAUGAGAUUAUAGAGAGUGGGAGGAUGAAGAUUUUACCUUAAUACUGACUCUGUAAGAGGAUUGAAACUUUUCUCUUUUUUUUCUUCUCAAUAAUCAACUUUUUACCAUAGUAUAUUAAAGUGUCUUCAGUUACUCUUUUUGACACUUGCAUGACUAAAGAUGAUACACAGAUAUUAAGGGGGAAUUUACCACUCUUUUCUUGUGAAGUAGUCUUUGAUACACUGUAAACAAACUAAUGUAUUUACGAUCUUGUGCCAAAGCUUUAGAAGAGGUAAUUGGGAUGGUUUGUUUGCUCAUAGGUAGAGAAAUCACUAAUUGAAAGAGUUAACUGUUGAAUUCUCGUGUGGUUUAUUCUGGGGGAGGGGCUUAGGUUUGGUAAGCCUGGGUCAAUGCUCCUGACAGACGGUGGCAUAACAGGCAGAGUGUGUUGGUGAGGGCCCAAUAGUAGUGAUGGCGAGCUGAAGCUUUGAAGCUUUCCAUUCACUCAGCGAACCCAUGGGUCGAAGCUUCUUGGUGCUUCAUUUACUCUACUGCGCCAUCAAGAGGACAGUAACUGUAAAACAGGUGAUUAUAAUCACAAAGUGGCUUUAGUGUGUGAAGCCU
Molecule: long non-coding RNA, 1387 nt
Organism: Archocentrus centrarchus (flier cichlid)
Lineage: Eukaryota; Metazoa; Chordata; Actinopteri; Cichliformes; Cichlidae
Exons: 3
Source: RefSeq, a predicted model, not a curated record